GUUCAUUUCACUUUUUGCCCAUCCCCCGCUCAUCUAGACUCUGAUUGGCCCCUGGGGAAGGAGCAGCCUGCUCAUUGGUCUCCACCUUCGAAUCUCUUCCCUAAGUAGGCCUGAGUCAGUGAAGAGCUUUGGAGGGCGGGACUGAAUGGGGGUUAAUCAGAGGAUGCGAUUGCUGACCCUUUGCACUUUGGCAUGGCCCAUCCCCUAAUUUCUGACCAGAAGCCCUCCCUCUACCCUAAGCUCGUGCGUCACGACGCCGCCAGCUGAUCGGAGCCUGGAGCCGGUGUGUGCUGGGUGCCGAGAAGAGACAGCGCCGCCGGCCGUGGGGAGCGGACGCAGUGAUUUGCUCCCCCUCGUGCAGCAACCCCCACACCCAGCACCAGGCCCCCAGAACUCUCCUUCCAGCUGAACUCCCUGGGAACAAGUCAGUUGGGCUGAUCACUGAACUCACAUUUCUGGACCUGAGGAGCCUGUUCCUCUCACGCCCUCACCUGGCUGAGCCGCAGUAGUUCUUCAGUGGCAAGCUUUAUGUCCUGACCCAGCUAAAGCUGCCAGUUGAAGAACUGUUGCCCUCUGCCCCUGGCUUCGAGGAGGAGGAGGAGCUGCUUUCCCCAUCAUCUGGAAGGUGACAGAAAUGGGCUGGGAAGGUCCGAACAGCAGGGUGGAUGAUACGUUUUGGGCAAGUUGGAGAGCCUUUGCCCAGAUUGGCCCAGCAAGGAGCGGUUUUAGAUUAGAGACACUGGCUGGAUUGAGGAGUAGAAGGCUCAAACAACCCAAGGAAGCUGUGUCUGUUCGAUUUGGUGGGAGGAGAUGUGCAGGGAGCUGUAUCUUGUCCUCCGCUUGUGAAAAACUCAAGGAUGUGGAGAAGAGUAGACCGUGGAACCCUGCUCUUCUGCAGCCAAGCUGAGGGGCAGGAUGCGUGUGGGACAGUGGUAGAGAAGCAGGGGAUAGACUCAUAGGCUGCAACAAAGGUGACUCUGUCCCUGGACACUGCCUCCGUACUUUCUCCUUGCUUCACUGGCCACAGCAUCUCCCUCCAGCCCUCGCUAUGUGCCUCUGCCAUCUUCACCCAUCAUGGAGCAGAGGUGAGGAGAGGCAGCCUGGGAAUAUGGAGACCAGUGAAGGACCAGGCCUGGAGAGCACAGGGUCCUACCUGGGCAUCCAGCAGAGGAGCCCCUAAAGGCCAGGAGCACCCCAAGAGGAGGGAGGGCAGCCAGCCUCCAUUGACGGCGAGCCUCCAGCCCUCUCCUACUUUGAUCACCAUUUCUCUCCAGGCUUUCUGCCUCCGAGAUGUGGCACCAUAGUGCGGUGCCCUGUGGCUUCACCGCCCUACUUCCACCUCCGCCCAGCCUGUAAUGUUUAUAUAAGCAGCCUCAAGGACCAAGAACCAUCUGCGAAAGGACACACACAGGAAAUUCAUAAAAGAAAUCUGAAUGGAUAAAACCAUGAAAAAAAGUAUGCUUCAUUAGUAAUUAAAGAAAGGCAAAUAGAGCUGGAAGCAUUUUUCCCUUAGCAAACCAUAACAGAAAAAAAUAAGACCCAAUAUUGGCAAAGAGACUACUGAAAAAACAUUCCCAUACAUUGCGUGUGGGAGUAUACAUCGGUGCAGGCUUCCUGGAUGACAGUUGGGUGAUAUGUGUCAUGUGGCCUAAAAGCCUCCAUGUCAUUUGACCUACGAAUUCUAUCUUUGGGAAUUUAUCCUAAGAAAAUACUUAAGGAUUUAGUUAGUGAUAAGAUGUUCAUCCCAGCAUUGCAAUGGAGAAAAAUGGGAAGCAAUGGUUUGGUUGGGAAUUUAUUCCUUUUCUGCUGUAACGAAAGUUUGCAAUAGGGGAUUGCUUAAGUAAAUUAUUGUAUCUCCAUCCAGAUGGUGGAGUACCGCGCAGACAUUAAAAGUCAUGUAAAAGAACAUCUGACUGAAAGAAAAAUGCUCCUUGAAUAUUAAAAGGUUGUAAAAAUAGUGCAUGUUAUGUGAUUUCAAUUUUGUUUUUUAAAAUAUGGGUGUAUGCUUGUAUACGUAGAGCAGAUAAAAAAGACGGAAGGCAUACUAAAAAAUGUUGAGUGGUUAUCUUUGUAUGGUGGAACAAAGUCACUGUAAUUUUCAUCUUUGGUUUUUCUGUAAUUUCCAAAUUUUCCACAUUUUGUAUUUCAUAUAAUAUAA
This 2158-nucleotide long non-coding RNA is filed under the name Homo sapiens (human). RNAcentral's name for it is "HSALNT0235912". The stretch from base 494 to 577 matches the Rfam family "mir-22 microRNA precursor family". The record is from RNAcentral. Lineage: Eukaryota; Metazoa; Chordata; Mammalia; Primates; Hominidae.